GGUUUCGUGGUCUAACGGCUAUGACUGCGGAUUCUGAAGGACGCCAAGUCCAACAUUUCCGCCAGCGAGGGUUCGACUCCCUCCGAGACCU
Molecule: transfer RNA, 91 nt
Filed under: Thelonectria olida
Lineage: Eukaryota; Fungi; Ascomycota; Sordariomycetes; Hypocreales; Nectriaceae
Rfam family: tRNA
About the family: Transfer RNA (tRNA) molecules are approximately 80 nucleotides in length.
Source: Rfam by way of RNAcentral